Molecule: ribosomal RNA, 451 nt
Filed under: uncultured bacterium
Lineage: Bacteria
Description: bacterial SSU rRNA
Rfam family: Bacterial small subunit ribosomal RNA
Source: RNAcentral
GUGGGGAAUAUUGCGCAAUGGGGGCAACCCUGACGCAGCAACGCCGCGUGAGUGAUGAAGGUCUUCGGAUCGUAAAGCUCUGUCAGCAGGAAAGAUGGCAUCUCCGGCUAACACCCGGAGGCGUUGACGGUACCUGCGAAGGAAGCACCGGCUAACUCUGUGCCAGCAGCCGCGGUAAGACAGAGGGUGCAAGCGUUGUUCGGAAUCAUUGGGCGUAAAGGGCGCGUAGGCUGUCUUGUAAGUCAGAUGUGAAAUCCCGGGGCUUAACCCCGGAAGGGCAUCUGAUACUGCUCGACUGGAGUCCUGGAGAGGGUGGUGGAAUUCCCAGUGUAGAGGUGAAAUUCGUAGAUAUUGGGAGGAACACCGGUGGCGAAGGCGACCGCCUGGACAGUGACUGACGCUGAGGCGCGAAAGCGUGGGGAGCAAACAGGAUUAGAAACCCGUGUAGUCC